GCGAGCGUAGUUCAAUGGUAAAACAUCCCCUUGCCAAGGAGAAGAUACGGGUUCGAUUCCCGUCGCUCGCC
This 71-nucleotide transfer RNA is filed under the name Eriachne agrostidea. RNAcentral describes it as "tRNA-Gly". It matches the Rfam family "tRNA". Rfam says of the family: Transfer RNA (tRNA) molecules are approximately 80 nucleotides in length. Their secondary structure includes four short double-helical elements and three loops (D, anti-codon, and T loops). Lineage: Eukaryota; Viridiplantae; Streptophyta; Magnoliopsida; Poales; Poaceae. The record is from RNAcentral.